Hirundo rustica (Barn swallow) is the source of this 3434-nucleotide long non-coding RNA. RefSeq lists it as uncharacterized. The transcript has 3 exons. The record is from RefSeq and is a predicted model, not a curated record. NCBI's taxonomy places the organism in Eukaryota, Metazoa, Chordata, Aves, Passeriformes, Hirundinidae.
AGGGUUGCUGCAGCACAGACAUUCACUGAACAUUUGAAGUAACCAGGUUGGAGAGCACUGUGGACCCUCCCUACCUCAAGGCAGGCUCUCAGCUCAGCUGUCCCGUGCUGAAGGUCUUGCUUGUCUUACUUGGUGUUGCUGUUCCAGUCCAAGAACCAAAUGCAGAGGGGGUUAAAGAAGUACUGGUCUCUUAGCCUGUAAGGCUUGUGCAUGAUGUCUAUGAGAGCAAUUUCCAGCAGAGCGAAGCCUUAUCACAGAUUCACCUAAAAGGUUGGUGAGCGCUUAGGAGAAAGGCUUAUACAUACUUCUGAUUUAUUGAGUUUCUCCCAAAUCUGCAGUGUUAAUAUUUUCAAAAGAAAAGUUGAACUGUGAAUCUGGCAGGUAAUGUAUGUAAAAUGCUGCUUGGCACUCCUCAUAUUUGCCAAGGAUGUUAACAAAUAUGAAUGAAUAUUAAGAAAAAAAGCCAGCAAAGCAGGAGGAAAUGAUGAAAAAUAGAGAGGCAAUUAAUAAAAACGAGAGGAGAAAAGGCACAUCAGCACCUAGAGAUAGUGAAGGAAUGCUCUAAUUAUUUUUUCACUGAAAAUGGCUUAAAUAGAGUUUUGAGAGUGGAGAACUCUAUUAUAAUGGAUCAUCAGUGAUAAAUUUUAAGACUAUUAGUUUGAGGAAUUCUGGUAAUUUAUGGGUAAACCCUUUGCUUAAAAAAGCAGGGGCUACAUUCAGAAUGUGGUGAUACACUGACGGCUAAAAGAACAGACUUUGAUAAAAGAAUAGAAGGAGUGACAAACUUUGAAACCCAAGAACAACAGGGACCUUCUUGGUCUCCAAUUUUCUCACAUUAACAUCAUAAAGUUAGCAAAGUCCAUGUUAAAAGUUUUUGUUUUUUCUGAUAGAAAUCAUCUCUUGGACUAUCUUUUGGAAUACUGUUUUACUUUUCCAAUCUACUUUUUUCAUUUCCAAUUUUUAAAUAACUCUUGUGCCAAAAUUGGCUUCUGGAUUGGUAACUGUCUUUCAGCCUGAUGUUUUAUGUUUAGAGCAGCUUACUGGCAUUUCUUCUUUAGCCAGUCCUUAACCUACCUUUCAAUUUCACCGCUUGCUUAAGUGUUUUCAGCUUUAACUAGCCUUUUCACAAACGUUGUUUCAUGAAAUACCUUACUGAAAUCCAGAUGGAUAUUUCCUCAAGCACAUCAGUUAUCAAAAGAAAACUAUUUAGUCUUUCUGGAAUUAGUAUAUGUGGUAUUCUAAAGCUGCAAGUGUUUCCUUUUCUUGAUCGUAUAGAAACAGAACUUUUAGUGAUAGUGCAGUGAAAUCAUUGCAAAGGGAGAGCUUUGUCAUCCACACUUUCUGAACAGAGAAUUUGAGUCAUCCCAUUUAAAAAGAGGUUUUCUUGAAAGCAGUAUCUUUUUGAUACUGGGAUCUUAAUCCAUUCCCCAGUCAGACUGAGCAUGCAUAUCAUGACAAAUCUAUCCUCCAUUAAUAUUGUUUGCUAUCCUAAAAUGAAUUAGCUGAAUCAAUAUACUCUUCCUGAGGUUUCCCUGAGGAGACAGGAGCAGCUGCUAGAGCAGCAACAGUCUGGCACCAAGGCAGUGGGGCCACCACUGGUGUCACCAGGGAGCAAGAAGCAGACCCUUGUAGGGAGCUGGGGGAGAAGGUUACUCAUGGGUACCGUGGUUUUGCUGAGGCAAAAGCAAGAAUCAGAUAUGACUGUCAGAACUGGCGAAGCUGUGCAGUCCUGGAAACGUAUAAUAGUAACACAAACUCCAGGACAGCAAGAUAAGAAAGAAUGCUGCUGCUGUUUCUGAUGCUCUUCUAACUACAUGAACUUCUUGAACAGCUGUGUGGACACUCAUCUUCAAUUAAUUAAUUAGACUAAUAUGUUCUCAAGGCUAGUUAGAGCCUUACUAUAUGGUUUCUUAUGCUUGAUAGAUAUUGCAAUAUGUAAUAAAGAAGGUAUGUAAUAAUGAGCAUAUUCUCCACCCUUUUUUGAAGACUGUUUUAAGAUCCGCAAUGCUGCAGACAACAGGAAAAACAAGGUUAAAAAAAAAGACAUAAGUUGAAAAAUUUGAGCUGGAUGCUUUCAAUUGGCUUAGUUUGUACAAAUUAGCAGACAGAAUUUCUGCACAGGUGGUAAAUAUACUUUUUUAAAAAUUUUUUUUCUAAAUUGAAGUAGGAAAAAACCCAAUGCCAAGGAACAAGUAUUUUUUCAAUUGAAAAAUAUUAUUGGUAGAUUUUUAUGGAGUAGUAUUUUUCUUCUUUUGUAAACAAAUAAUUUUUAAGGAAAGACUGUAUUAACACAUUGAGCUUUAAAAUUAAAAUUUAUUCUCAGCCUCAGAAGAGCCGAUGGUAGAACUUAAUUUGAAAUUCUCCACCAAAAUUAUUCUUCAAUAGAAGUUAUUAAUGCUUUGAAAUUAGAAGUAGCAUUAGUAUGAGUCAACAGUAGAACUACCCUAAUUUAAUUAGAAAAUUAAUUUUUGACAUGUUUACAAUUAAAUAACUGAAAGUUUGAAAAGUAAAUUUUUUUGAAGUGUAGCUUUAAAAAAAACCCACUGGUCGUGAUCAUUAUCUAAUUUGUACUAAAAAUUGCAAAUCAGUAUAAAAACAUUUGGAGUGUUUUCAAAUUACUGACUAUAUGUAUAUGAAUUUUUCAUAGUUUAUAGGUUAUUUUCCUGAUUUUUUUCAAUAAGAUGGUAUUUUUAAAUUUUAAAUUAUUUUUGUCUGUCUACUCCAUUACCUUGUGAUGUUUGCUUGAUGUGCAUUUUCAGCUGGUCUUUCAACACAUCUCCUUAAGCAGUGUAUUUUGUGUUUACAUGAGACUUUAAUUUAGUGAGCAGCUGAAGUAGUUUCUGUUUGUAUGGCGGGAUACAUGCUUGUACAAGUUAGAUUUGUGUAUUGUGGAAUGACUGAAUAUGGUUAUGAGAACCUCGGUUGUUUGACUUAUGAUGGUUACUAUCAUCAGCAAAUAAUACAAUUUUCAGUAUAUGACGCUGAUUCCUUCUUAUGCAUUUUUUCAUUAUCACAUUGACGGUGCAUUUAAAUAUCAAGGCUGUAUUGCUUUUCUUGGUAGUCAUUUGAGCUGUUAGGAUUGUUCUUUUUUAUAACAAUUAUGUCUUUUCUUAAAACCUCUUUCUUUGUUCAGCACAACUUUAAUGUGUGGGAUGUCUCCUUUCAUCACAGCAGGGGACACUGUGUAUUUGUGGGACACUGAUAAUUUGUGGGCUUCCAUAUUAGCAAUGUGGAAUCCGUUUGAGCUUGCUUGCAUAUGUUAGUGCAUUUUGUGAUGGUAAGUGUUGGGGAAUUCUGUCAGCAGUAGUAUUUUUUUCUCAGUAGUUAAUUAAUAUCCUGUAAAUAUGCUGUUCCCAUUAAGCCUAAAUGCUAAUUUUAUUGUCUCUGCAUACAGACUAUGUUGAUAAUAGCACAAAAAUAAACUCAUCUGAAAU